AAUAAAAUCACAAUUUGGUUGGCCCACCCCCCUUAAUGGGUAAAACUCACCUUUAUUCCAGCACCAUCAGAACUGAUGAUUUUAGCAAUCCAAUGCUUUUCAACGGGAAAGCAUUGGAUUAGCUGAGAUUGGCUAAGAUCAUCAGAAUUGACAAAGAGGUAGGGCAGGGCCAAAUGCAGCACUGGCCAAUCAGCAUCUGCUCCUAGGGAUGCAUUGAAUGAAUGCAGAUCUAUGGGGAAAGUUCAGUGUCUUCAUAGUGUGGAAAUGCCGAAUGUCAGUACUGCACCCAGGAAGCACCUUUAGUGGCAGUCUCACUGACUGCCACUGUUAGUGUCCCUAGGCAGUAAUGUAAACACUGCCUUUUCCUUGAAAAUGCCUGCAAAGACAUAC
Molecule: non-coding RNA, 390 nt
Organism: Pelobates cultripes (western spadefoot toad)
Lineage: Eukaryota; Metazoa; Chordata; Amphibia; Anura; Pelobatidae
Source: the annotation of a GenBank genome assembly